CCUACGGGAGGCUGCAGUAGGGAAUCUUUCACAAUGGGCGAAAGCCUGAUGGAGCAACGCCGCGUGCAGGAUGAAGGCCUUCGGGUUGUAAACUGCUUUUAUAAGCGAGAAAUAUGAUGGUAACUUAUGAAUAAGGAUCGGCUAACUACGUGCCAGCAGCCGCGGUCAUACGUAGGAUCCGAGCAUUAUCCGGAGUGACUGGGUGUAAAGAGUUGCGUAGGUGGCAUAAUAAGUAGCUAGUGAAAUCUGGUGGCUCAACCAUUAAGACUAUUAGCUAAACUGUUAAGCUCGAGACCGUUAGAGGUAACUGGAAUUUCUAGUGUAGGAGUGAAAUCCGUAGAUAUUAGAAGGGACACCAAUAGCGUAGGCAGGUUGCUGGGACGGUUCUGACACUAAGGCACGAAAGCGUAGGGAGCAAACGGGAUUAGAUACCCUUGUAGUC
This 442-nucleotide ribosomal RNA is filed under the name uncultured bacterium. RNAcentral's name for it is "partial 16S ribosomal RNA". It matches the Rfam family "Bacterial small subunit ribosomal RNA", at positions 338 to 795 of the family's 1533-position model. The record is from RNAcentral.